CAGCGAAGCUUGCUCGCCGGAACAUCUACAGCCUCGUCCCCUGGACGCGCCCGCAUCUGAUCAGUCAUCUGCUGCUCCCGUUGAGGAAGUAAUCCCACCUCCCCCCGAGUUUCCCUCUGACCCGUGGCAAGCUUUCAUCGACUACAUGGCAGCUAAACCUGAAGCCACUCUGCCCAUCCCGGGCUCCGAGGGUCGAGUCCUCGAGCGCGGCAAAUACAAGGGCAAGGGCAUCGCCGUCUUCACCAGCGGCGGCGACUCCCAGGGCAUGAACGCAGCCGUGCGUGCCGUGGUCAGAAUGGGACUGUACGUGGGCG
This is a long non-coding RNA of Hyalella azteca, 314 nucleotides long. RefSeq lists it as uncharacterized. NCBI's taxonomy places the organism in Eukaryota, Metazoa, Arthropoda, Malacostraca, Amphipoda, Hyalellidae. The record is from RefSeq and is a predicted model, not a curated record. The transcript has 3 exons.